This 377-nucleotide ribosomal RNA is filed under the name uncultured bacterium. Its description in RNAcentral is "bacterial SSU rRNA". It matches the Rfam family "Bacterial small subunit ribosomal RNA", at positions 521 to 896 of the family's 1533-position model. The record is from RNAcentral.
UAACACGAACCGGGCAAACGUUAUUCGGAAUUACUGGGCUUAAAGGGUGCGUAGGCUGCGCUAUAAGUCGGGUGUGAAAUCCCUCAGCUCAACUGAGGAACUGCGCCCGAUACUGUAGUGCUUGAGGAGGAUAGAGGUGAGCGGAACUAGCAGUGGAGCGGUGAAAUGCGUUGAUAUUGCUGGGAACACCCGUGGCGAAAGCGGCUCACUGGGUCCUUUCUGACGCUGAGGCACGAAAGCUAGGGGAGCGAACGGGAUUAGAUACCCCGGUAGUCCUAGCCGUAAACGAUGAGCACUAGAUCGGGGAGACCUCCACAUCUUCCCGAUCGUAGCGAAAGUGUUAAGUGCUCCGCCUGGGGAGUAUGGUCGCAAGGCUG